UCUUCCCAAUCAUACUUUCUCUGUACACCAUUUUUAUUUUCUUCCUCUCAAGCAUCAAAGGGAACACGAACUAAGAAGAAGAGAAAGCAUCCAACUUUCAAGUGAGAAAGUAGAAGGGACAGGAGAUAUAAAAAAAGGGGCCUCAUAAUUUCCAGCCCAUACCUUGAUUCUUUGCAUAAGAGGUUGGGCGCUGCCUGACCGAGAAGAAGUCGCUGUUCGAACUACAACGACGGUGAGGGAGAGGUAGAAUCGAGGGCUGGGCGCGCGGUAACAUUGGUGCAGCAGCAGCGGCUGAACCGAGAGAACAGCAGCGGCAUCAGCCGUCAACUGCUGAAGAUAGAAACGGUGAGAGCUGGAGACGCACGGCAGCAGCGACGGAAGGCGAUAUCUGGGCGACAGCAGCUACGCUGUGAAGGCUGCCUCAGCGAACAACAUCGACAGUUUCCUCCGAACAGCGGCUGCUCGGCAGCGACACGCACCUGCGCAACGGACAGCAUCAGCGCGAUGGUGAAUUGAAUGGAGCGAUAGCGACUGGCCGAAUUGUGACGGAUUGCAGCAGCGGCUGUUCUCAGCAGCAGCAGUCGCGGCUGCUCAUGACGGACAGCAGCAGCGGGCUGAUGAAACUCCGAGAGUGCAGCGGCGACGACCCCAGCAGUGUCGACGGGCUGUCUGCAAUAGCAGCCGCGACUCACGACGGUACUACAGUGCGAGAGAGAAAAGCGGAACGGCGAGGCCGGAGGCUUGAACUGCACCGUGACAGCAACGACACUGCGCUCUGACCGACGGAGGAGUUGCGAACUGAGGAAGGGAGAUGGUGAUGUAUGACGGUAGAAAGAGAGAACGAGACUGAGAGAGGAUGACAGUGGGCUUGGACCGAGGGAGAGACAGCAUUGGCUGACAGGAAUCUUCGGUGGUCUCAUUAAUCCGGAUUUUAGACGGCGGGGACUUCAGUCUUACACCACGAUCGAGCAGUAGCACGAUGGCGGGUCAUCGGAGGCGACUGAUUUUAGGAGAUGCGAAGAGAGACGGCUGGAGAGAGAGAUAUGGGUGAGAGAGAAAGAUGACAGAAGUGUUUCAAUGAGAAGUAUAGGACUUCAAAGCCCAUUUUGGAAGUUCACUAUCACAUAAGGAGAUGAAUUGGAGUUAAUUUGGUUUGGCCAAAUUAAUAAAAUAGAAGUUCGGCCGGAGUACAUUAAAUCAAUGGGUGACAUCACACACGCUUUUUGAGGAACAAGUUAAGGCUUUAACAAAUGAGGUGGGCUUUCUUUUGAAAUAUUUUGAAUUAUUUUGCCAAAUGAUGAAUGAUGUAUCUACUUUGCAAAAUGCAUUAUGUCU
Salvia hispanica is the source of this 1335-nucleotide non-coding RNA. Lineage: Eukaryota; Viridiplantae; Streptophyta; Magnoliopsida; Lamiales; Lamiaceae. The record is from RefSeq and is a predicted model, not a curated record.